GAUGAACGCUGGCGGCGUGCCUAACACAUGCAAGUCGAGCGAUUCUCUUCGGAGAAGAGCGGCGGACGGGUGAGUAACGCGUGGGUAACCUGCCCUGUACACACGGAUAACAUACCGAAAGGUAUGCUAAUACGAGAUAAUAUACUUUUAUCGCAUGGUAGAAGUAUCAAAGCUCCGGCGGUACAGGAUGGACCCGCGUCUGAUUAGCUAGUUGGUAAGGUAACGGCUUACCGAGGCGACGAUCAGUAGCCGACCUGAGAGGGUGAUCGGCCACAUUGGAACUGAGACACGGUCCAAACUCCUACGGGAGGCAGCAGUGGGGAAUAUUGCACAAUGGGCGAAAGCCUGAUGCAGCAACGCCGCGUGAGCGAUGAAGGCCUUCGGGUCGUAAAGCUCUGUCCUCAAGGAAGAUAAUGACGGUACUUGAGGAGGAAGCCACGGCUAACUACGUGCCAGCAGCCGCAGUAA
RNAcentral lists this ribosomal RNA (468 nucleotides) under uncultured bacterium. RNAcentral's name for it is "partial 16S ribosomal RNA". It matches the Rfam family "Bacterial small subunit ribosomal RNA", at positions 28 to 523 of the family's 1533-position model. The record is from RNAcentral.